UAGGGAAUCUUCGGCAAUGGACGAAAGUCUGACCGAGCAACGCCGCGUGAGUGAAGAAGGUUUUCGGAUCGUAAAACUCUGUUGUUAGAGAAGAACAAGGACGUUAGUAACUGAACGUCCCCUGACGGUAUCUAACCAGAAAGCCACGGCUAACUACGUGCCAGCAGCCGCGGUAAUACGAAGGUGGCAAGCGUUGUCCGGAUUUAUUGGGCGUAAAGCGAGCGCAGGCGGUUUCUUAAGUCUGAUGUGAAAGCCCCCGGCUCAACCGGGGAGGGUCAUUGGAAACUGGGAGACUUGAGUGCAGAAGAGGGGAGUGGAAUUGCAUGUGUAGCGGUGAAAUGCGUAGAUAUAUGGAGGAACACCAGUGGCGAAGGCGGCUCUCUGGUCUGUAACUGACGCUGAGGCUCGAAAGCGUGGGGAGCAAACAGG
RNAcentral lists this ribosomal RNA (429 nucleotides) under Chloroflexota bacterium. RNAcentral describes it as "Chloroflexi bacterium partial 16S ribosomal RNA". It matches the Rfam family "Bacterial small subunit ribosomal RNA", at positions 355 to 776 of the family's 1533-position model. Lineage: Bacteria; Bacillati; Chloroflexota. The record is from RNAcentral.